UCCUUCGGAAAUAUACUUUAGCCAGUGUACGAUUGCAAGCAGCUUCAAUGAACAUUCUGCACACACAGAAAAAUCUAUUGGCGAAACUGUAGACGACAUAUUACUUGGACGAUGUAGGAUAGAGGACAUUCCGAAAAUUAGCGUGGUUAAGAAAAGAGAUGUUUGGGUAUCGGCAGACAAUAGACGAUUAUGGAUUUUCAGAACGUUGCAAUCAUUGGGAAAAUGUGACACGAUUAAAGUGAAAGUGAAAAAACAUAUUAGCCCCCAUAAGAACGUGGUCAAGAAAAAUAUAAAGUUAAGGGGAGAAGCUGGAGGUUUUCUGUAUAAAAGUAUGCUAAAUUUACAAAGUCAGCAUGAAAGUUUAACAGAAAUUCUUCAAAAGCUUUCACGUUUGAUUUUGGAUGAAAAUCAAACGUAGGGAAGAGGAAAACUUUUUAAAUGUGCCACCAGGAUGUUCAAGAGAAAGGGAAUCGAAUGUUCAAGAUUACUUCAUCGAUUUUUAUACUUUUUUAUGUAAACAUUUUAUGUAUUUACUAAUGUUU
Molecule: long non-coding RNA, 542 nt
Organism: Saccostrea echinata
Lineage: Eukaryota; Metazoa; Mollusca; Bivalvia; Ostreida; Ostreidae
Exons: 3
Source: RefSeq, a predicted model, not a curated record